This 100-nucleotide ribosomal RNA is filed under the name Bacillus velezensis. The record is from RNAcentral. Lineage: Bacteria; Bacillati; Bacillota; Bacilli; Caryophanales; Bacillaceae.
AAGAGGUCACACCCGUUCCCAUGCCGAACACGGAAGUUAAGCUCUUCAGCGCCGAUGGUAGUCGGGGGUUUCCCCCUGUGAGAGUAGGACAUCGCCAGGC